AGUCGAGCGGUAAGGCCCUUCGGGGUACACGAGCGGCGAACGGGUGAGUAACACGUGAGCAACCUGCCCCCGACUCCGGGAUAAGCGGUGGAAACGCCGUCUAAUACCGGAUACGACCGGCCACCUCAUGGCGGCCGGUGGAAAGUUUUUCGGUUGGGGAUGGGCUCGCGGCCUAUCAGCUUGUUGGUGGGGUAAAGGCCUACCAAGGCGAUUACGGGUAGCCGGCCUGAGAGGGCGACCGGCCACACUGGGACUGAGACACGGCCCAGACUCCUGCGGGAGGCAGCAGUGGGGAAUAUUGCGCAAUGGGCGAAAGCCUGACGCAGCGACGCCGCGUGGGGGAUGACGGCCUUCGGGUUGUAAACCUCUUUUACCACCAACGCAGGCUCCCAGUUCUCUGGGGGUUGACGGUAGGUGGGGAAUAAGGACCGGCUAACUACGUGCCAGCAGCCGCGGUAAUACGUAGGGUCCGAGCGUUGUCCGGAAUUAUUGGGCGUAAAGAGCUCGUAGGCGGCGUGUCGCGUCUGCUGUGAAAGACCGGGGCUUAACCCCGGUUCUGCAGUGGAUACGGGCAUGCUAGAGGUAGGUAGGGGAGACUGGAAUUCCUGGUGUAGCGGUGAAAUGCGCAGAUAUCAGGAGGAACACCGGUGGCGAAGGCGGGUCUCUGGGCCUUACCUGACGCUGAGGAGCGAAAGCAUGGGGAGCGAACAGGAUUAGAUACCCUGGUAGUCCAUGCCGUAAACGUUGGGCGCUAG
Molecule: ribosomal RNA, 755 nt
Filed under: Nocardiopsis sp. YIM 92609
Lineage: Bacteria; Bacillati; Actinomycetota; Actinomycetes; Streptosporangiales; Nocardiopsidaceae
Description: bacterial SSU rRNA
Rfam family: Bacterial small subunit ribosomal RNA
Source: RNAcentral